This 88-nucleotide ribosomal RNA is filed under the name uncultured bacterium. RNAcentral's name for it is "partial 16S ribosomal RNA". The record is from RNAcentral.
UGGUCGUAACUUCUUUGUACGGAAAAACCAACAGGUCGAGUAUCUGUGCUGAUGGUACCGUAAGAAUAAGGAUCGGCUAACUCCGUGC